GAUGAACGCUGGCGGCGUGCCUAAUACAUGCAAGUCGAGCGAACAGACGAGGAGCUUGCUCCUCUGACGUUAGCGGCGGACGGGUGAGUAACACGUGGAUAACCUACCUAUAAGACUGGGAUAACUUCGGGAAACCGGAGCUAAUACCGGAUAAUAUAUUGAACCGCAUGGUUCAAUAGUGAAAGACGGUUUUGCUGUCACUUAUAGAUGGAUCCGCGCCGCAUUAGCUAGUUGGUAAGGUAACGGCUUACCAAGGCAACGAUGCGUAGCCGACCUGAGAGGGUGAUCGGCCACACUGGAACUGAGACACGGUCCAGACUCCUACGGGAGACAGCAGUAGGGAAUCUUCCGCAAUGGGCGAAAGCCUGACGGAGCAACGCCGCGUGAGUGAUGAAGGUCUUCGGAUCGUAAAACCCUGUUAUUAGGGAAGAACAAAUGUGUAAGUAACUAUGCACGUCUUGACGGUACCUAAUCAGAAAGCCACGGCUAACUACGU
RNAcentral lists this ribosomal RNA (496 nucleotides) under uncultured bacterium. RNAcentral describes it as "partial 16S ribosomal RNA". It matches the Rfam family "Bacterial small subunit ribosomal RNA", at positions 28 to 506 of the family's 1533-position model. The record is from RNAcentral.